GCCCCCAUCGUCUAGCGGCCUAGGACAGCGGCCCUUCAAGCCGCCAACACGGAUUCGAAUUCCGUUGGGGGCACCA
RNAcentral lists this transfer RNA (76 nucleotides) under Chloroflexota bacterium. Its description in RNAcentral is "Chloroflexi bacterium (hot springs metagenome) tRNA-Glu". It matches the Rfam family "tRNA". Rfam says of the family: Transfer RNA (tRNA) molecules are approximately 80 nucleotides in length. Lineage: Bacteria; Bacillati; Chloroflexota. RNAcentral also lists the same sequence under 1 other name. The record is from RNAcentral.